This 253-nucleotide ribosomal RNA is filed under the name uncultured bacterium. RNAcentral describes it as "partial 16S ribosomal RNA". It matches the Rfam family "Bacterial small subunit ribosomal RNA", at positions 524 to 776 of the family's 1533-position model. The record is from RNAcentral.
CACGUAGGGCGCAAGCGUUGUCCGGAAUUAUUGGGCGUAAAGAGCUCGUAGGCGGUCUGUUACGUCUGCUGUGAAAACCCGGGGCUUAACCCUGGGCUUGCAGUGGAUACGGGCAGACUAGAGGCAGGUAGGGGAGAAUGGAAUUCCUGGUGUAGCGGUGAAAUGCGCAGAUAUCAGGAAGAACACCUAUGGCGAAGGCAGCUCUCUGGGACGGUACUGACGCUGAGACGCGAAAGCGUGGGGAGCGAACAGG